CAGCCGCCGCGGGAAUACGAAGGGGGCUAGCGUUGCUCGGAAUGACUGGGCGUAAAGGGCGCGUAGGCGGAUGGUACAGUCAGAUGUGAAAUUCCUGGGCUUAACCUGGGGGCUGCAUUUGAUACGUAUUGUCUAGAGUGAGGAAGAGGGUCGUGGAAUUCCCAGUGUAGAGGUGAAGUUCGUAGAUAUUGGGAAGAACACCGGUGGCGAAGGCGGCGACCUGGUCCUUGACUGACGCUGAGGCGCGAAAGCGUGGGGAGCAAACAGGAUUAGAUACCCCCGUAGUCCCUGUCUCUUAUAC
Molecule: ribosomal RNA, 301 nt
Filed under: uncultured bacterium
Lineage: Bacteria
Description: partial 16S ribosomal RNA
Rfam family: Bacterial small subunit ribosomal RNA
Source: RNAcentral